Molecule: long non-coding RNA, 241 nt
Filed under: Brassica napus (rape)
Lineage: Eukaryota; Viridiplantae; Streptophyta; Magnoliopsida; Brassicales; Brassicaceae
Description: long non-coding RNA (BNAP_LNC007053)
Source: RNAcentral
CACGUGUGUCUGCUUAAACCGCGUCGCCACCGUCACGUGAUAAAUCGUUUCUCUUUCUUCUGCGGUUGAAGCUCUCGUUGGUAACUUUGCAAAAACACAAAAUAAAAAUUUCAUUAAGUGAAAAAGUAAAUUUUAGUAGAUUAUUUAUAAAAUCAACAUUUGCACAUUAUUAAAUUAUAUGAUUACAUCAUUUUAAAAUUUUAAAUAAAUAGCAAUAACAAUUUCAGUGAUAAAUAGUUAC